GUCCAAGUUGAAGGUGGUUUCCCCCCUUCAACUUGAGGGGGGGUGUUGAGAUGUAUAACUUGUCUAUGAUGAUAAUACUCAAUUGUGGACCAUUGUGGUCAUUAUAGGAGUCAUAUCUGAGCCUAAUAGGCUAUUUCUACAAUUAGGCUGUUCUUGCAAUUUGUUUGUAUAUUUUGUAUACUUUUGUAGUUAGGUCAAUUGUGUAAAUAGGCUAUUCCUGUAAUUAGGCUAUGUCAUGUAAAUAGGCCACAUAUGUNNNN
RNAcentral lists this long non-coding RNA (260 nucleotides) under Nicotiana benthamiana. RNAcentral describes it as "long non-coding RNA (NBEN_LNC040794)". The record is from RNAcentral. Lineage: Eukaryota; Viridiplantae; Streptophyta; Magnoliopsida; Solanales; Solanaceae.